GACGAACGCUGGCGGCGUGCCUAAUACAUGCAAGUUGAGCGCUGAAGGUUGGUACUUGUACCAACUGGAUGAGCAGCGAACGGGUGAGUAACGCGUGGGGAAUCUGCCUUUGAGCGGGGGACAAAAUUUGGAAACGAAUGCUAAUACCGCAUAAAAACUUUAAACACAAGUUUUAAGUUUGAAAGAUGCAAUUGCAUCACUCAAAGAUGAUCCCGCGUUGUAUUAGCUAGUUGGUGAGGUAAAGGCUCACCAAGGCGAUGAUACAUAGCCGACCUGAGAGGGUGAUCGGCCACAUUGGGACUGAGACACGGCCCAAACUCCUACGGGAGGCAGCAGUAGGGAAUCUUCGGCAAUGGACGAAAGUCUGACCGAGCAACGCCGCGUGAGUGAAGAAGGUUUUCGGAUCGUAAAACUCUGUUGGUAGAGAAGAACGUUGGUGAGAGUGGAAAGCUCAUCAAGUGACGGUAACUACCCAGAAAGGGACGGCUAACUACGUG
This 497-nucleotide ribosomal RNA is filed under the name uncultured bacterium. RNAcentral's name for it is "partial 16S ribosomal RNA". It matches the Rfam family "Bacterial small subunit ribosomal RNA", at positions 28 to 507 of the family's 1533-position model. The record is from RNAcentral.